AUGGAUAAAAUUGUGAGAGUGUUGGAGAUCUCUAAAGGCACUUGUAUCAGAGUCGUAUAUGGAGUUUCUUCCCAGCUAUGCAUCUGCUUUCAUCCUGCAAUUAAUUUUAGCACGGGGAGAGUAAUCAGCAAACUCACCUAUGACAAUGCGGUUACAGCGUUGGAUAUCGACCACACUGGUCAACUUAUUUUUGCUGGUGAUGCGCAGGGUUACAUAUACACUAUUAGUGUGAACUCUCACACAGGGUCUUUAUCUAGAACUCAUAAGAACAAGAGUUGUAAGAUCAAAUCUUCCGUUACAACCAUCCGCAUUGCAACAAAUUCCCAUGGAUACUUGACUCUCAUAUGCUCUCUAAAAUUGGCUUCACCAGUGCAGAAUAUCCGUGCUUCUUUCUGUCCACUUCUUUCCCUUGAGAAAGGGGAAUUCAUAGGUAUUGAUGAAGUCGUUUACAUCCCUAAAGGGACACGGCUCUCCAGUAAUGGGAGUAGCCUGGAAUCACGGGGAAAAUUUGCUCGCCUCAUCUGA
RNAcentral lists this ribosomal RNA (525 nucleotides) under Triticum aestivum (bread wheat). RNAcentral describes it as "partial small subunit ribosomal RNA". The record is from RNAcentral. Lineage: Eukaryota; Viridiplantae; Streptophyta; Magnoliopsida; Poales; Poaceae.